CAGCCGCCGCGGUAAUACCGGCGGCCCGAGUGGCGGUCACUAUUAUUGGGCUUAAAGCGUCCGUAGCCGGGUUGGGAAGUCCUCCGGGAAAUCUGGCCGCUUAACGGUCAGAAUGCCGGAGGAUACUCCCAGCCUAGGGAGCGGGAGAGGCCGAGGGUAUUCCCGGGGUAGGGGUGGAAUCCUAUAAUCCCGGGAGGACCACCUGUGGCGAAGGCGCUCGGCUGGAACGCGGCCGACGGUGAGGGACGAAGGCCAGGGGAGCAAACCGGAUUAGAUACCCGGGUAGUCCUGGCUGUAAACGAUGCGGACUUUGUGUCGGACAAGCUAUGAGCUUGUCCGGUGCCGGAGGGAAACCGUUAAGUCCGCCGCCUGGGGAGUACGGCCGCAAGGCUGAAACUUAAAGGAAUUGGCGGG
Molecule: ribosomal RNA, 414 nt
Filed under: uncultured microorganism
Description: bacterial SSU rRNA
Rfam family: Archaeal small subunit ribosomal RNA
Source: RNAcentral